This is a non-coding RNA of Cajanus cajan (pigeon pea), 2368 nucleotides long. Lineage: Eukaryota; Viridiplantae; Streptophyta; Magnoliopsida; Fabales; Fabaceae. The record is from RefSeq and is a predicted model, not a curated record.
CAUAAUAGAAGGGUCACUCAAAAUAUUUGUCGAUGAAAAGAAAACUCAACUGCUUAAAGACAAAGGCUUGCAUAUUGAAGUUUGUGACAAAGGAGUGACAGGCCUUUAACAAGUCUGUUCCUUCCAUGUCAAAUGGUGACUUGUUCCAGAAGAACAAUGAUAUGAUAGACUUAGUUUUGGGGGAACUCUCACCAUGAGUCUUGGCUCGUUGAGCCUGCUAUUGCAUUUGAAGGUAUUCCCUCUGAUAUUUCUGGAACAGGGGAAAUAAAUACGAUUUUCUCCAUGCCUUGGUGGGAGGUCUGUGUAAUAUGCUUUUAGCAUAUAAUUAUAAGUCCUUAGUAAUAUCUUCCUACUGCAGCAAUGACCUGGAUAACAUUCUUCUUGAGAACCUUGGUGACACAAGGACGUUGCAAGCAGUUUUUGAGCUUGAAGGUCUUGUCUUAAUUGGACCACAUACAUUGGCUCCAGAGUAUGGUUUUGAAUAUGAACUAGUCACAUACAGAUGGCCCACAUGGUUACAUAAACAGAAAGAAAAGCAGUGAAUAAUUUGGUCAUAGAAAAUCCUGAUCCUAGAUGUCAUUUUCCCCCUUCCCUAGGAGAAGGUCAUUUUUGUCGAUGUUGAUCAAAUUGUCCUAGCAGACAUGGGAGAACUCUAUGACAUGGAUUUAAGGGAAAACCCCUGAUACUCUUUUAGAUAAUAAUGAGGAGAUGGGUGGAUAUCGGUUUUGGAGACAAGGUUUUGAAAGCAUCAGUUGCAGGGAAAACCAUACCAUAUUAGUGCUUAAUAUGUCGUUGAUCUGAAAAGUUCCAAGAGACUGCAUUAUGAAAAACUUAGCAAGGAUCCAAAUAGUCUAGCCAACUUGGAUAAUGUAAGAGGUUUGAGUUUAAUAGUUCCUUUUUACCUGCAAAAGAGUCAUUAUAUAAAAGAAUAAAAGAUCAAGUUGUUAGGUAAGAUUGACUGGUUUUGUGGCCCCAAUAUAACAUGAAAGCUCAGUGCAUGGUAAAUGACUGCUUUAUAUUAAAACUUCAUUAGAUGGAGGCAUAAGGAACCAUCUCUAGACCACUAGUAACACUGUUCAAAAUAAAAUAGUUAACCUAAAACAGUAAGCUGUUAAACAAGGGCCACAGAAUAGUUGUUUUAACUUUCGAUGUACAUGCCUUGUCAAAUUAAAUUGUUAAAGAAUAUUUAGCCCCUCCUCAAUCCGCUAACCAAAUAAAUAGGCAUGAAAGGAAAACUGGGGGCUACUUUAUGUUACGUUAUCUGAAUAUUUGUCUUGGUGAUGAUUGAUGAGUUAUCAUAUUAUAAAUUUAUAACACGUAAUUUAGAGACCUUUUGAUUUUAAUUAUUUCAGUAUGUUUAUACCUAUUGACCAAGAUGGUACUUUUUAGAAACAAUUGUGCGAUCAUUGUUGGAAAAAAUUGACAAGACUACUCAGGUACAUGUCAUUGUUGGGAAAGCUUAGUGUUGAACAAAUAAGACCAGUGAUUUUCUUAUCAGAUUUCGAGCAAGUUGGAAUCAGGUCCUUCCUUUUUAGGGUUUAGGAAAAUUGAAUAAUGAUUUCAGAAUCGCUGAAAAAGAGCAGCAAGAACAACGAAACCUAUUACUGAAAAAGAGCUAUUACAUAAGUUGUACAAAGGACCAAAUGGGAUCCUUUAGGACUGUAAAAUCAAGUUAGAGAUUUCUUAGUAUAUUUCCUUAUUAUUAUUUUUUAUGAAGACGAUGAACACAUCUUUAUGUGCUUCCUAUGUAUUUCCCAUUAGCCUUCUCUUUUAAAUGUUUGUUUUUGGUUUGAGGUGCCCUUUUUGUUAAAAUUUUCCCUUGAUUGUUUAGGAUCUUCCUAAUUGUGCUCAGUAUAUUGUGCCCAUUUUCUCUUUGCCACAAGAAUGACUAUGGUGUGGUAAUGCUACAAAAUAUAAGGCAAAAACCAUUGAUUUGUGCAACAAUCCCAUGACGAUAGAACCCAAUUGCUGGUGAAUGUUAUUUUUUAUGUUUUCUGUUCGUGGAGACUUAUUUCCUAUCGCAGCUUAUGUUUGUGCACUCCUCUUUAUCUUGGACCAUACCUUGAUUUUGAAGCAAGAAGAUUCACAGCACGAAUCUCGGGGGAUGAUCAAGAAUCUGAAUGAAUGCAAUCCCUUAAUCAAUCCAAGGACUUGACUAGUGAAGAUCCAUUGAAUGAAAAACACGGAAUCCGUGAAAGAUGUUCUGCAAGUUGAAAUUUACUCAAGAAAUCUAUGAUCCUUUCAACAUCAACAUUUUUUUUUUGGUGAUUACUCAUCUGUGUCUCUCACACUAAGUUCUUGAACUUGCAGAUAUAGACUGAAACAAAAGAAAGAAAACCAUAUUUAUAUUUAUGUUAAAUUUUGCUAA